AUUGAACGCUGGCGGCAGGCCUAACACAUGCAAGUCGAGCGGGGUUUUCGGACCUAGCGGCGGACGGGUGAGUAAUGCGUAGGAAGCUGCCCGAUAGAGGGGGAUACCAGGUAGAAACGACUGUUAAUACCGCAUAAUGUCUACGGACCAAUGUGUGGGACCUUCGGGCCACAGGCAAUCGGCUGCGCCCAAGUGGGAUUAGCUAGUGGGUGAGGUAAUGGCUCACCAAGGCGACGAUCUCUAGCGGGUUUGAGAGGAUGAUCAGCCACACUGGAACUGAGAAACGGUCCAGACUCCUACGGGAGGCAGCAGUGGGGAAUAGUGGACAAUGGGCGCAAGCCUGAUCCAGCCAUGCCGCGUUUGUGAAGAAGGCCUUCGGGUUGUAAAGCACUUUCAGCGAGGAGGAAGGGUGGUGUGUUAAUAGCACAUCAUUUUGACGUUACUCGCAGAAGAAGCACCGGCUAACUCUGUGCCAGCAGCCGCAGUAA
RNAcentral lists this ribosomal RNA (488 nucleotides) under uncultured bacterium. RNAcentral's name for it is "partial 16S ribosomal RNA". It matches the Rfam family "Bacterial small subunit ribosomal RNA", at positions 30 to 523 of the family's 1533-position model. The record is from RNAcentral.